RNAcentral lists this ribosomal RNA (253 nucleotides) under uncultured bacterium. RNAcentral's name for it is "partial 16S ribosomal RNA". It matches the Rfam family "Bacterial small subunit ribosomal RNA", at positions 524 to 776 of the family's 1533-position model. The record is from RNAcentral.
GACGAACCGUGCGAACGUUGUUCGGAAUCACUGGGCUUAAAGGGCGCGUAGGCGGGCUGCCGCGUCCGGGGUGAAAUCCUUCCGCUUAACGGGAGAACGGCCUCGGAUACGGGCGGCCUCGAGGGGGGUAGGGGCAUCUGGAACUGUGAGUGGAGCGGUGAAAUGCGUUGAUAUUCACAGGAACUCCGGUGGCGAAGGCGAGGUGCUGGACCCCAUCUGACGCUGAGGCGCGAAAGCCAGGGGAGCGAACGGG